GACGAACGUUGGCGGCGUGCUUAAUACAUGCAAGUCAACUGAAGCAGUGGUAGCAAUAUCGCUGUGGAGGUGGCGCACGGGGGAGUAACACGUAGGUAAUCUGCCUUCAGGUCUGGCAUAACUCCGGGAAACCGGGGCUAAUAGCAGAUGAUGCAGCGGCUCGACAUCGAGACAGUUGUUAAAGCUAUGGCGCCUGAAGAUGAGCCUGCGUCUGAUUAGCUAGUUGGCGGGGUAACGGCCCACCAAGGCAACGAUCAGUAGCUGGUCUGAGAGGAUGAUCAGCCACACUGGAACUGAGACACGGUCCAGACUCCUACGGGAGGCAGCAGUAAGGAAUAUUGCUCAAUGGGAGAAAUCCUGAAGCAGCAACGCCGCGUGAGGGACGAAGGGCUUUUGCUUGUAAACCUCUGUAGUGAGAGAAAAAAAUCCCAAUCUUUGGGACAUGAUGGUAGCUCAAAAGUAAGCCCCGGCUAACUACGUG
This 481-nucleotide ribosomal RNA is filed under the name uncultured bacterium. RNAcentral's name for it is "partial 16S ribosomal RNA". It matches the Rfam family "Bacterial small subunit ribosomal RNA", at positions 28 to 507 of the family's 1533-position model. The record is from RNAcentral.